GAUGAACGCUGGCGGCGUGCCUAAUACAUGCAAGUCGAGCGAACAGACGAGGAGCUUGCUCCUCUGACGUUAGCGGCGGACGGGUGAGUAACACGUGGAUAACCUACCUAUAAGACUGGGAUAACUUCGGGAAACCGGAGCUAAUACCGGAUAAUAUAUUGAACCGCAUGGUUCAAUAGUGAAAGACGGUUUUGCUGUCACUUAUAGAUGGAUCCGCGCCGCAUUAGCUAGUUGGUAAGGUAACGGCUUACCAAGGCAACGAUGCGUAGCCGACCUGAGAGGAUGAUCGGUCACACUGGAACUGAGACACGGUCCAGACUCCUACGGGAGGCAGCAGUAGGGAAUCUUGCGCAAUGGGCGAAAGCCUGACGGAGCAACGCCGCGUGAGUGAUGAAGGUCUUCGGAUCGUAAAACUCUGUUAUUAGGGAAGAACAGAUGUGUAAGUAACUAUGCACGUCUUGACGGUACCUAAUCAGAAAGCCACGGCUAACUACGUG
RNAcentral lists this ribosomal RNA (497 nucleotides) under uncultured bacterium. RNAcentral's name for it is "partial 16S ribosomal RNA". It matches the Rfam family "Bacterial small subunit ribosomal RNA", at positions 28 to 507 of the family's 1533-position model. The record is from RNAcentral.